Molecule: ribosomal RNA, 568 nt
Filed under: uncultured bacterium
Lineage: Bacteria
Description: bacterial SSU rRNA
Rfam family: Bacterial small subunit ribosomal RNA
Source: RNAcentral
CGCACAAGCGGUGGAGCAUGUGGUUUAAUUCGAUGCAACGCGAAGAACCUUACCUACUCUUGACAUCCAGAGAAUUUAGCAGAGAUGCUUUAGUGCCUUCGGGAACUCUGAGACAGGUGCUGCAUGGCUGUCGUCAGCUCGUGUUGUGAAAUGUUGGGUUAAGUCCCGCAACGAGCGCAACCCUUAUCCUUUGUUGCCAGCGAUUCGGUCGGGAACUCAAAGGAGACUGCCGGUGAUAAACCGGAGGAAGGUGGGGAUGACGUCAAGUCAUCAUGGCCCUUACGAGUAGGGCUACACACGUGCUACAAUGGCGUAUACAAAGAGAAGCGACCUCGCGAGAGCAAGCGGAACUCAUAAAGUACGUCGUAGUCCGGAUUGGAGUCUGCAACUCGACUCCAUGAAGUCGGAAUCGCUAGUAAUCGUAGAUCAGAAUGCUACGGUGAAUACGUUCCCGGGCCUUGUACACACCGCCCGUCACACCAUGGGAGUGGGUUGCAAAAGAAGUAGGUAGCUUAACCUUCGGGAGGGCGCUUACCACUUUGUGAUUCAUGACUGGGGUGAAGUCGUA